RNAcentral lists this ribosomal RNA (454 nucleotides) under uncultured bacterium. Its description in RNAcentral is "bacterial SSU rRNA". It matches the Rfam family "Bacterial small subunit ribosomal RNA", at positions 340 to 785 of the family's 1533-position model. The record is from RNAcentral.
UACGGAAAGGCAGCAGUGGGGAAUAUUGCACAAUGGGCGCAAGCCUGAUGCAGCCAUGCCGCGUGUAUGAAAAAGGCCUUCGGGUUGUAAAGUACUUUCAGUCGUGAGGAAGGUGUUAAGGUUAAUAACCUUAGCAAUUGACGUUAGCGACAGAAGAAGCACCGGCUAACUCCGUGCCAGCAGCCGCGGUAAUACGGAGGGUGCGAGCGUUAAUCGGAAUUACUGGGCGUAAAGGGCACGCAGGCGGUUAAUUAAGUUGGAUGUGAAAUCCCCGGGCUUAACCUGGGAAUGGCAUUCAAGACUGGUUAGCUAGAGUCUUGUAGAGGGGGUAGAAUUCCAUGUGUAGCGGUGAAAUGCGUAGAGAUGUGGAGGAAUACCGGUGGCGAAGGCGGCCCCUGGACAAAGACUGACGCUCAUGUGCGAAAGCGUGGGGAGCAAACGAGGGAUUAGAUAC